GGGGAAGUAUGUGGGGUUUAGGAGUAACAGCAGUAAUGCUCACAAUGGAGUUCUUGGAGGUAGCCAUGAACACUGUAAACAAAGCAGCCCUGGGUAAAGGCAUGAGUCAAUUUAUACUUGUGGUGUAUUCUAAUAUGAUUGGGGUACUCUUGCUUCUUUCAUCUUCCUUCAUCUUCUACAGAAAAAGAAUCGCUCCACCGCUUACAUGGUUCAUAACGGGAAGAAUUUUUGUUCUUGGUCUGCUCUGCUUCGCCGGUCAGGUGUUUACCUACAUUGGGUUAGGAUACAGCUCCCCAACUCUGGCCUCGGCGAUGACUGAUUUAACUCCAGCUUUUACUUUCAUACUUGGACUCGUCUCCAGGAUGGAAAGGCUGGACUUGCGAAGCAAAAGCAGUCAGGCCAAAUCUAUUGGCACCAUGGUAUUGAUCACAGGGGGAUUAGUCCUGACUUUAUACAAAGGUCUGCCAAUUACAGGCUCUCCAUCAUCAGGUAAUAAAUUGCAGAAUGAGCUGCUUCUUUUGCCUUCAUCAAAUUGGGCCAUUGGAGGUUUUUUUCUUGCAGCUCAUAGUUUCUUCCUGGCGCUAAUUUUUAUUUUCCAGACAUGGAUAAUCAGGGACUACCCAUCGGAGAUUCUCAUUACACUCGUUAGCUGUAUCUUUGUGACCAUCCUAUCAGCCACUGUCUCUCUGAUCGCAGAGGAAGAUCCAAAUGCCUGGCGAAUAAGGCCCAAUAUUGAGUUGGUAGCUAUUGGGUACUCGGCAGCUUUUGCAGUAUCACUUCGAAGCAUUGUUCAUACAUGGGCAUGCCACAAGAAAGGGCCUGUCUACAC
Molecule: unclassified non-coding RNA, 829 nt
Filed under: Hevea brasiliensis (rubber tree)
Lineage: Eukaryota; Viridiplantae; Streptophyta; Magnoliopsida; Malpighiales; Euphorbiaceae
Source: RNAcentral